UCCGGUUUGACACCGGCAGUCUCCCUAGAGUGCCCGGCAUAACCCGCUGGUAACUAGGGACGAGGGUUGCGCUCGUUGCGGGACUUAACCCAACAUUUCACGACACGAGCUGACGACAGCCAUGCAGCACCUGUGCACGGACUCCGAAGAGGAACCGAUGUUUCCACGGCGGUCAGGAACAUGUCAAGCCCAGGUAAGGUUCUUCGCGUUGCGUCGAAUUAAACCACAUGCUCCGCUGCUUGUGCGGGCCCCCGUCAAUUCCUUUGAGUUUCAGUCUUGCGACCGUACUCCCCAGGCGGAUGACUUAACGCGUUAGCUCCGGCACAUCGGGACUAAAACCCGACACACCAAGUCAUCAUCGUUUAAGGCUAGGACUAC
This 378-nucleotide unclassified non-coding RNA is filed under the name uncultured bacterium. Its description in RNAcentral is "contains 16S-23S intergenic spacer region". The record is from RNAcentral.